This 253-nucleotide ribosomal RNA is filed under the name uncultured bacterium. Its description in RNAcentral is "partial 16S ribosomal RNA". It matches the Rfam family "Bacterial small subunit ribosomal RNA", at positions 524 to 776 of the family's 1533-position model. The record is from RNAcentral.
UACGUAGGGGGCGAGCGUUGUCCGGAAUUACUGGGCGUAAAGGGUGCGUAGGCGGCCUAGCAAGUCCUGUGUGAAAGGCCCCGGCUUAACCGGGGAGAGCCAUGGGAAACUGUUAGGCUCGAGUGCCGGAGAGGGUGGCGGAAUUCCCGGUGUAGCGGUGAAAUGCGUAGAGAUCGGGAGGAACACCAGUGGCGAAGGCGGCCACCUGGACGGUGACUGACGCUGAGGCACGACAGCUGGGGGAGCAAACAGG